Non-coding RNA from Vombatus ursinus (common wombat), 73 nucleotides. The record is from Ensembl. Lineage: Eukaryota; Metazoa; Chordata; Mammalia; Diprotodontia; Vombatidae.
GCUGUUAAUGUAGCUUAUCCUAAAGCAAAGCACUGAAAAUGCUUAGAUGGACUAUAACUAGUCCCAUAAACAC